Myotis lucifugus (little brown bat) is the source of this 114-nucleotide small nuclear RNA. NCBI's taxonomy places the organism in Eukaryota, Metazoa, Chordata, Mammalia, Chiroptera, Vespertilionidae. The record is from Ensembl.
UAUAGUGUUCUCUGCAGCAGCCCAUAUCAUACCAAAAUUGGAACCAUACACAGAAGAUUAGCAUUGCUUCUGAACAAAGAUGACACACAUAUUCAUGAAGCAUUCCAUAUUUUU